Molecule: ribosomal RNA, 1263 nt
Filed under: Bacillus amyloliquefaciens
Lineage: Bacteria; Bacillati; Bacillota; Bacilli; Caryophanales; Bacillaceae
Description: bacterial SSU rRNA
Rfam family: Bacterial small subunit ribosomal RNA
Source: RNAcentral
CGGAGGGUUCUAUAAUGCAGUCGAGCGGACAGAUGGGAGCUUGCUCCCUGAUGUUAGCGGCGGACGGGUGAGUAACACGUGGGUAACCUGCCUGUAAGACUGGGAUAACUCCGGGAAACCGGGGCUAAUACCGGAUGGUUGUCUGAACCGCAUGGUUCAGACAUAAAAGGUGGCUUCGGCUACCACUUACAGAUGGACCCGCGGCGCAUUAGCUAGUUGGUGAGGUAACGGCUCACCAAGGCGACGAUGCGUAGCCGACCUGAGAGGGUGAUCGGCCACACUGGGACUGAGACACGGCCCAGACUCCUACGGGAGGCAGCAGUAGGGAAUCUUCCGCAAUGGACGAAAGUCUGACGGAGCAACGCCGCGUGAGUGAUGAAGGUUUUCGGAUCGUAAAGCUCUGUUGUUAGGGAAGAACAAGUGCCGUUCAAAUAGGGCGGCACCUUGACGGUACCUAACCAGAAAGCCACGGCUAACUACGUGCCAGCAGCCGCGGUAAUACGUAGGUGGCAAGCGUUGUCCGGAAUUAUUGGGCGUAAAGGGCUCGCAGGCGGUUUCUUAAGUCUGAUGUGAAAGCCCCCGGCUCAACCGGGGAGGGUCAUUGGAAACUGGGGAACUUGAGUGCAGAAGAGGAGAGUGGAAUUCCACGUGUAGCGGUGAAAUGCGUAGAGAUGUGGAGGAACACCAGUGGCGAAGGCGACUCUCUGGUCUGUAACUGACGCUGAGGAGCGAAAGCGUGGGGAGCGAACAGGAUUAGAUACCCUGGUAGUCCACGCCGUAAACGAUGAGUGCUAAGUGUUAGGGGGUUUCCGCCCCUUAGUGCUGCAGCUAACGCAUUAAGCACUCCGCCUGGGGAGUACGGUCGCAAGACUGAAACUCAAAGGAAUUGACGGGGGCCCGCACAAGCGGUGGAGCAUGUGGUUUAAUUCGAAGCAACGCGAAGAACCUUACCAGGUCUUGACAUCCUCUGACAAUCCUAGAGAUAGGACGUCCCCUUCGGGGGCAGAGUGACAGGUGGUGCAUGGUUGUCGUCAGCUCGUGUCGUGAGAUGUUGGGUUAAGUCCCGCAACGAGCGCAACCCUUGAUCUAGUUGCCAGCAUUCAGUUGGCACUCUAGUGACUGCGGUGACAACCGGAGAGGUGGGAUGACGUCAUCAUCAUGCCCUUAUGAACUGGCUACCACGUGCUACAAUGACAGACCAGCAUUAAUCCGCGAGGUAAGCAUUCCCACAAUCUCGGUUUCUCCGCUUCGGGAUCGUACGAA